Molecule: small nuclear RNA, 113 nt
Organism: Myotis lucifugus (little brown bat)
Lineage: Eukaryota; Metazoa; Chordata; Mammalia; Chiroptera; Vespertilionidae
Source: Ensembl
AUUUGUGCGCAGGGCCACUAGUAAUAGAUAAUAAAACUGGAACGAUACAGAGAAGAUUAGCAUGGCCCCUGCAAAAGGAUGACAUGCAAAUUUGUGAAGUGUUCCAUGUUUUA